AGUGAACGCUGGCGGUAGGCCUAACACAUGCAAGUCGAACGGCAGCACAGUAAGAGCUUGCUCUUACGGGUGGCGAGUGGCGGACGGGUGAGGAAUACAUCGGAAUCUACUUUUUCGUGGGGGAUAACGUAGGGAAACUUACGCUAAUACCGCAUACGACCUACGGGUGAAAGCAGGGGAUCUUCGGACCUUGCGCGAUUGAAUGAGCCGAUGUCGGAUUAGCUAGUUGGCGGGGUAAAGGCCCAUCAAGGCGACGAUCCGUAGCUGGUCUGAGAGGAUGAUCAGCCACACUGGAACUGAGACACGGUCCAGACUCCUACGGGAGGCAGCAGUGGGGAAUAUUGGACAAUGGGCGCAAGCCUGAUCCAGCCAUACCGCGUGGGUGAAGAAGGCCUUCGGGUUGUAAAGCCCUUUUGUUGGGAAAGAAAAGCAGCAGGUUAAUACCCCGCUGUUCUGGCGGUACCCAAAGAAUAAGCACCGGCUAACUUCGUG
RNAcentral lists this ribosomal RNA (492 nucleotides) under uncultured bacterium. RNAcentral's name for it is "partial 16S ribosomal RNA". It matches the Rfam family "Bacterial small subunit ribosomal RNA", at positions 29 to 507 of the family's 1533-position model. The record is from RNAcentral.